Molecule: ribosomal RNA, 397 nt
Filed under: uncultured bacterium
Lineage: Bacteria
Description: bacterial SSU rRNA
Rfam family: Bacterial small subunit ribosomal RNA
Source: RNAcentral
GGAAUCUUGCACAAUGGGCGAAAGCCUGAUGCAGCCAUGCCGCGUGAGUGAAGAAGGCCCUAGGGUUGUAAAGCUCUUUCAGUGGUGAAGAUAAUGACGGUAGCCACAGAAGAAGCCCCGGCUCACUCCGUUCCCGCCGCCGCGGUAAUACGGAGGGGGCUAGCGUUGUCCGGAAUUACUGGGCGUAAAGCGCACGUAGGCGGAAGACCAAGUUGGGGGUGAAAGCCCGGGGCUCAACCCCGGAAUUGCCUCCAAAACUGGUCUUCUCGAGUCCGGGAGAGGUGAGUGGAAUUCCUAGUGUAGAGGUGAAAUUCGUAGAUAUUCGGAGGAACACCAGUGGCGAAGGCGGCUCACUGGCUCGAUACUGACGCUGAGGUGCGAAAGCGUGGGGAGCAAA